AUUGAACGCUGGCGGCAGGCCUAACACAUGCAAGUCGAGCGGAUGAAGGGAGCUUGCUCCUGGAUUCAGCGGCGGACGGGUGAGUAAUGCCUAGGAAUCUGCCUGGUAGUGGGGGAUAACGUCCGGAAACGGGCGCUAAUACCGCAUACGUCCUGAGGGAGAAAGUGGGGGAUCUUCGGACCUCACGCUAUCAGAUGAGCCUAGGUCGGAUUAGCUAGUUGGUGGGGUAAAGGCCUACCAAGGCGACGAUCCGUAACUGGUCUGAGAGGAUGAUCAGUCACACUGGAACUGAGACACGGUCCAGACUCCUACGGGAGGCAGCAGUGGGGAAUAUUGGACAAUGGGCGAAAGCCUGAUCCAGCCAUGCCGCGUGUGUGAAGAAGGUCUUCGGAUUGUCAAGCACUUUAAGUUGGGAGGAAGGGCAGUAAGUUACUACCUUGCUGUUUUGACGUUACCAACAGAAUAAGCACCGGCUAACUUCGUG
Molecule: ribosomal RNA, 484 nt
Filed under: uncultured bacterium
Lineage: Bacteria
Description: partial 16S ribosomal RNA
Rfam family: Bacterial small subunit ribosomal RNA
Source: RNAcentral